This 247-nucleotide ribosomal RNA is filed under the name uncultured Actinomycetes bacterium. RNAcentral describes it as "uncultured actinobacterium partial 16S ribosomal RNA". It matches the Rfam family "Bacterial small subunit ribosomal RNA", at positions 505 to 750 of the family's 1533-position model. The record is from RNAcentral. Lineage: Bacteria; Bacillati; Actinomycetota; Actinomycetes.
GUGCCAGCCGCUGCGGUGAUACGUAGGGUGCGAGCGUUGUCCGGAAUUAUUGGGCGUAAAGAGCUUGUAGGCGGUCUGUCGCGUCGGAAAGUGAAAACUCAGGGCUUAACUCUGAGCCUGCUUUCGAUACGGGCAGACUUGAGGGAUGUAGGGGAGAACGGAAUUCCUGGUGGAGCGGUGGAAUGCGCAGAUAUCAGGAGGAACACCAGUGGCGAAGGCGGUUCUCUGGACAUUUCCUGACGCUGAG